RNAcentral lists this ribosomal RNA (372 nucleotides) under uncultured organism. Its description in RNAcentral is "bacterial SSU rRNA". It matches the Rfam family "Bacterial small subunit ribosomal RNA", at positions 526 to 896 of the family's 1533-position model. The record is from RNAcentral.
CAGAGGCCCCAAGCGUUACUGAGAAUCACUGGGUUUAAAGGGUGCGUAGGUGGCGCGUUAAGUCCGUUGUGAAAGCCCUGGGCUCAACCCAGGAACUGCUUCGGAUACUGGCGCGCUUGAGGCUAGUAGGGGUCACUGGAACUGACGGUGGAGCGGUGAAAUGCGUAGAUAUCGUCAGGAACGCCAAUGGUGAAGACAGGUGACUGGGCUAGUUCUGACACUGAGGCACGAAAGCGUGGGGAGCGAACGGGAUUAGAUACCCCGGUAGUCCACGCCCUAAACGAUGCAGACUAGACUGCAGCGGGUUACACCCCGUUGCGGUCGGAGCGAAAUUGUUAAGUCUGCCACCUGGGAAGUACGGUCGCAAGGCUA